Molecule: long non-coding RNA, 733 nt
Filed under: Homo sapiens (human)
Lineage: Eukaryota; Metazoa; Chordata; Mammalia; Primates; Hominidae
Description: non-protein coding lnc-F3-7:22
Source: RNAcentral
AUAGAGUCUUGCUCUGUGACCCAGGCUUGUGUGCAGCGGUACGAUAUUGGCUCACUGCGACCUCCACCUCCCAGGUUCAAGCAAUUCUCCUGCCUCAGCCUCCCAAGUAGCUGGGAUUACAGGGAAACCUGUGGAAAUAUUCGUUAGGGAAAAGAAAAUGAGAAAGAAUAAGUGAAGACUUUAGGUUUAGGAUGCUUUAGGAUGGGGCAGAUGUCCUCAAAGAACAAUGGGGACAGAGUAGGGAGAAAAAAAAAAAAAAAGGUUUGCCAUCACUCAUGUGAUAUUCUGUUCUGUCAGGGACUUCUGUCAAACCAUGAUUGUUGGAACAGCUUUGCCUCUCUGGAAAGCAGCUUGCUAGAGAGACUUGCGGUAGAGAGGGAGGGUCAUGGCCAGAUGCCGAAAGCAACAUUUACAUAUUUAGUGAAGGCCCAGGCUUUACUCCUUAGUAGCUAUGUGAUUUUGGAUAAGUUACCUAAUUUCUGUGAACCUCUAUGUCUUCCUCUGAGAAACAAUGAUAAGGACACUUACCUCAAAAGGCUGACUUGAAGCACAAGCAAACAGUGGACAUGAGAAUACUUGGUAAACUAUGAAGUGACCCACAAAGAAGGGUAUUGUCAUUUUACCCUUUCCUCUAGUCCUCAGUGGAACUUUCCUUAUCUUUUCAAAGGUGAAGAACUAAUGUUGACGGAAGUUAAGCAACCUUUCCCAAAGUCUCAUAGUGGUAAUGUCUUGG